UUUUUAGUAUAAGUAUGCCUCAUGCAAUACUUGGGAUAUACUUAUACUAAAA
Molecule: non-coding RNA, 52 nt
Organism: Macaca mulatta (Rhesus monkey)
Lineage: Eukaryota; Metazoa; Chordata; Mammalia; Primates; Cercopithecidae
Source: Rfam